GCACUGUGACUGAAGCAGCUUUGCUAUUGCCCUGACAAAGAAGUCUUUCACACGGUGUGACUUGUUUUUAAGGCAGCUCCACUGGCAGAUCAUCUUUAUGCAGUGUGCCACAUCCACCCUGAUGAAACAAGGAGGAAGUUUCCCAGACCGGUUCCCAAGUAGCACACGGAAGCACUCAUUAAUGUAUGUCUUCAGAUCAGGGUAAGGAGUGAAAGCCUUCACCAGAGCACCUAGAAUAGCCAGAGAAAAGUCACUCACGGCUUCUUUUGGUAUAGCAGCACCUGUCCGAAGCCAUUCUGUCAGCCAUGUUGCAAUAGCAUUAAUGUCGUGUCUCUCUGACAGCAUUUGCACUACCGGGACUGAACAAUUCUCCCCUGUCAGAACCCCUUGAUAUAGGAAGAUGUGGCCAGAUGUACCAUUUGGUCUCACCAGUCUUCUCACAACUGAACCUGUUGCAUCAAAGCAAACUACUGAGGGGCAUUUUUUGGACAAUGCUUUAUACAGAUGGAGCUGAGUUGGACUCCAAUAGUGGCAGAAGAACUUAUCUAGACCAAUGUCUCUUAUACUACCACUGUGAGGGUCGCCAAAUUUGGGAGGUGACUUGGUUCAGGAUCUCCAAUAUCCAUCAAUUCCGAUGCCUUCGCUGACCUCCAUACAGCCGGCUCCAUCCUGCCCUCACACAGCUCUUUUGAAAUCUGUGCACGAAGCUUUCCAGACAUGAACCUCUUGGAACGACCAGUGUGCAGGGAGAUAUCAGUGUCUUCGAUGGAACACUCCAGAAUCAUUGGGCUGUUGACUAUUGGUUCUCUGGCACAUGUCAUUUUAACGUGGCCCUGACACUCUUUACAGAAGCCCUUGAUAUCGAUGUAAUUGUUUGUGACAGUUGGAUAAACCUUUGCUCUCUGGAA
Long non-coding RNA from Cyprinodon tularosa, 908 nucleotides. RefSeq lists it as uncharacterized. Lineage: Eukaryota; Metazoa; Chordata; Actinopteri; Cyprinodontiformes; Cyprinodontidae. The record is from RefSeq and is a predicted model, not a curated record. The transcript has 2 exons.